UACGAAGGGGGCGAGCGUUGUUCGGAUUUACUGGGCGUAAAGGGCGCGCAGGCGGCUCAUUUUGUCAGGCGUGAAAGCCCCGGGCUUAACCUGGGAACUGCGUUUGAUACGGAUGGGCUAGAGUUCGGGAGAGGAGAGUGGAAUUCCCAGUGUAGAGGUGAAAUUCGUAGAUAUUGGGAAGAACACCGGUGGCGAAGGCGGCUCUCUGGACCGAUACUGACGCUGAGACGCGAAAGCGUGGGGAGCGAACAGG
RNAcentral lists this ribosomal RNA (253 nucleotides) under uncultured bacterium. RNAcentral's name for it is "partial 16S ribosomal RNA". It matches the Rfam family "Bacterial small subunit ribosomal RNA", at positions 524 to 776 of the family's 1533-position model. The record is from RNAcentral.